This 66-nucleotide transfer RNA is filed under the name Mesohomotoma hibisci. RNAcentral describes it as "tRNA-Asn". Lineage: Eukaryota; Metazoa; Arthropoda; Insecta; Hemiptera; Carsidaridae. The record is from RNAcentral.
GAAUAGAAGUCAAAGAGAGACAAAUUAUUGUUAAUAAUUUUAAUGAAUUUUAAAUUCCUAUUCAAG